Molecule: signal recognition particle RNA, 117 nt
Filed under: Gorilla gorilla gorilla (western lowland gorilla)
Lineage: Eukaryota; Metazoa; Chordata; Mammalia; Primates; Hominidae
Description: Metazoan signal recognition particle RNA
Rfam family: Metazoan signal recognition particle RNA
About the family: The signal recognition particle (SRP) is a universally conserved ribonucleoprotein. It is involved in the co-translational targeting of proteins to membranes.
Source: Rfam by way of RNAcentral
GCCAGGCGUGGUGGCUCAUGCCUGUAAUCCCAGCACUUUGGGAGGCCGAGGUGGGCGGAUCACCUGAGGUCAGGAGUUCAAGACCAGCCUGACCAACACGGUGAAAGCCCAUCUCUA